AGUGGAGUCGGGGUUCCCGGUGGUAACGGGAGGUGCUCCUAGCGCGGCUCGGCGGCUCGGGUCGGGAUGCUGGGCGUCGCUGUGGGGUCUUAGAAAUGCCGCCAGCAGCUUGACCCACUCGGGAAAGAUCCCGCUUGGAGUCGCAGCCCGUUUUCCAGACUCUCUCCCGAGAGAAUCGGUGUUCCGGGCGCCCCGAGCGUGGGCGGAAGAGCGACGCGGAGCUCGCAGGUUCCCGUAAGGCGACUUGCAAAGAAAGCCCAGGUGUCCUCGCACUGUAGCGGAUGUUUGCUCUCGGAAGCCUUCUGCGGUUUAAGCAUCACUUAGGAGAGCGCUUUAAAAAGCCCUCUGUGUGCCCUGUGGGAGCCGUGCGAUUGCGUUCAGGACAGAUGUUUUGCCUACAUGUGUGUCUGAGCAGCAUCUGCAUGCCUGGUGCCCAGAGGCCAGAAAAGGACACAGGAUUCCCCUGGAACUGGGAUUAUCCACAGCUGUGAGCAGUCAGGGUGGCCCUGCAUUAUGAAUAUUAAGUAACGAGUACCAAUAACAGUGCUGAACCUACAGUAGGUGACGCAACAAACCAACAAACAAAAACACCAGGCAGCUCUUCUCUAUUCUACUUGACCCUGAUCAAAGUCAUACUUGAAAUAACAGCAGAAGAAGCCAAACCACCCUACCACAUGACCCUUCAUUGGUCCCUGGUGGACAUGUGGGUUCUGGUGAGAAGCCGAGAACAGAGAAGGCAUGACUCAUGGUGCGGAACCUGUGACAAGAGCAUCAAGGUCAUCAGUGAGCACUAACUGGGUCAUCGGGAGGGACCAUCACUGUGACAAACCCAUGCUUAUCACAGGUCAUGUGUCCAUGAUUCUUUCUAUAAUGUUUCCUUGCAUAUGUGUGUGGUACAUGCAUGUGUAUAUGAAUGCUCACAUAUAUGGACACAUGUGAGAGCGUGUGUGCGUGUGUACAUGUGUGUUUCUGUGGUGUAUAUGUGUGCUCAUGUAUAUAUGGGCACGCAUGUGUGUAUGUGUGCUCACAUAUAUGGGAACAUGUGUGAGAUUUGUGCGUGUAAACGUGUGCUCAUGCACAUAUGGGCACACAUAUGUGAGAGUGUGGGUGUGAGUGCAUAUGUGUAUUGUGGUGUAUGUAUAUGCACGCUCAUCUAUAUAUGGGCAUGUGUGCAUGUGUUUGUGCAAGCAUGGUCAUGUAUAUAUGGAUGCACACAUGUGUGCAUGGGUGUGUGUGCAUGCAUGUAUGUGUGUGUUCACUUAUAUAUGGACAUGUGUGAGAAUGGGGAUGUGUGCAUGUGUGUGUUUUGUGUGUAUAUGUGUGCUCAUGUACAUAUGGGCACAUGCGUGAGAGUGUGAAUGGGUAUGCACAUGUACAUGUGUGAACGUAUAUGCAUGCAGAGGUCGGUGUUGACAUUGGGAGUCUUCCUGAAUUGCUUUUCACUUUAUUUCAGUGAGGAAUGUUUCUCCUUGAAUCUAAGACUUUCCCAUUCUAGCGAGUUCAGCCAACCAACUUGCCCUGAGGGUCUCUGCCUGAACUCUAUGUGCUGGGUGUCCAAAAUCUAGCCCUCCCACCUGCAACAAGUGAUUUAUCCACAGAGCCACACCCUCAGCCUGCCUAUGUAUUUCUUGAGACAUGGUCUUCCUGUAUAGCCUAAGCUAGCUAUGCUAUGAGCCAACUCUGGCUUCAGACUCAGAAUCCUGCUUUGUCUCACAGGUUGUGACAUUUUAGGUGUGAGCCACUAUGCCUGGCCCAGGGUUCUCAAUAGCAGAAUGUCUGCUGUAGAUUAACGUUGUGUUUUCAGUGGUCAUAGGUCAUUUAGUGAAUCAUUAAAUUAAGUUCAAUGAGAAGAAAUAAACUCAAUGUUACAAUAUCCUGGUCAGGUGACUAUUAACCCCAUUUUAUAGGUGAGGAAGUUAACACUUAGGAAGCUAAAUAACUGGUCCAAAUCCAUAGUACUAUCUCAAGAAAUAACAGAGAGAGCCGGGUGAUAGUGGCACAUGCCUUUGGUCCCAGCACUUGGGAGGCAGAGGCAGGCAGAUUUCUGUGAGUUCGAAGCCAGCCUGGUCUAUAAGAGCUUGUUCCAGGACAAGUUCCAAAGCAACAUACAGAAACCCUGUCUCGAUAAACCAAAAGAAAAAUGAACAAAAGAGAAAGAAAGAAGAGAGAAAAGGGAAGAAGGAAAGAAAGAAAGAAAAAGAAAGAAAAGGAAAAGGAUUUAUGAAAAUAGUUGGGCAAUAUUGUGUUGAAAUUAGGUUAAAUAUCAGUCUGUAUCACACAAAGCAUCCACAUAUAAAUUUUAUUGGCAGUUUAGACCAUUUGACAACUUCUAGAAAACCUUCUGCAAACUGUAAAGUACUAUGCCAAACUCCUGUAUGUGAGCAUGUAUAUGCAUGCACACACAUGCAUCAGACCUGAAGAAAGGAACUCUUGGUCUUGUUACCAUCCACAGAAAUUUAAACUUUUAUCUAAGGCCUAAAAUUUUCGAGUGACUUCUUUGAUAAGAGAGAGUUUCAUGUUUUAAAAAAUGUGAAAUAGUAGUAUGCACUUCACAGUCUAUAUGGGAACUAUUCCAUAUGUCAUGUGAUCCUUCAACAGUCUACAGAAUUUACGUGUGGACUUUGUGCAACGCAGGCUGUAAGCAUGGUCACAGCUGAUAACGACUGCUUAUCAACAAGAAAGCCAACACAUUUGACCACAGUCCAAUAGUAUAAAAGUGCUGUUUAUAGAUAAUCUAUUUCUAGCUCUCAAGGAAGCAAUGUCAUCACUAACUGGUUGCUGUGCAGGUAUUCAGCAGCUUCCAAAGGUUAAACUUGAUAGUGCAGUCAGUACAUUGUCUCUGAAACACCCAGGUCUUUUCAAAGUCAUAGUGGUGCUCCUCGGACGCCUUCGUCACUUCGUAAAGAGACAUAGUGGCAUGAGGCUUCUUACAACUGCGUGUGAGUGUCCAGUUGCCUACAUCAACAUGACAACUUCUUUUAAAAACUCACUGUGGGGAUGGAGAGAUGUCUUAGUGGUGAAGAGUGCUUGCUGUUCAAUCAGGAGGAUCUGAGUUCAGAUUCUCCCACCCAUGAAACACACACACACACGCACACAUGCAACCAAACACACACACAUACUUCAAAACACCAAAAUAAAUUUUUUUUGAAAAUUGCUAUGGCCACUUCAGGUGUUAACAUUCAAAUAUUCUCACUUCUUCUUUUGCUUCUUCUUUUCUGGGAAAAGCAAACACAUCUCACAGACAGAAGCCCUUCCGGUCUGGGCUGGUGCCCUUUAUGCAGUUUCAUAAGACCCAUAAGCUUGUCACGUUCCUGUCAGAGGUACUUUUUGGUGAUCCCAAUCAGUUUUUAAAUAGGUAAACAUUUUUUUUUUAAAGAACAAAAGAGAAAAUGGCAGGAUGUACCACAGACGGGAAAGAGAUAUUCCAUCAAUAUUUUGAGUGUUUAUGCCUAUUGCGCACAUUCUGAGUGAGACACUUUAUUUUCAGGGACCAUUUCUAUAGGUCAUAACAAGCUUUGGAAGCUUUGAGUAUGACUUUUUAAUGAACAUGCAAGGUUAUUUUAAAUGUUUUAUUUGGGGGUCACAGCGUAACUGAAACUCUUGGGCUUAUUGAUCCUUUUGCCUCUGCCUCUGUACUCUGUACGAGUAGGACUGCAGGUGUCUCCCCUGUGCACAUGAGGGAAUUACUAGAGGUCCCGUGGACAUGGAUGGACUAGAAGAACAAUUAGGAAUAUAUGCUUCUUUAUGCCCUCUCAACAGCUUUGAAAGCAAAAUAGGAAUUCCCAUGAUUUUUCUGAAGGCAAGGGAGAAAUGAUAGUAUCUUCCAGUAAACACACACACCUUUAUUCACUGUAAUUGAACCACAUGACUAUUCUUGAGUCUAUUACUGACGGGGGGGGGGGAGAUGAUGUUAUGUAGACUAAUUAGGCUACUCCUUGGAACUGUCACCAGCCUUUUUUAGGCUCAUGCGUGGGUGGGAGGAAAGGAAACAAAGAAAGGAGGACACUUUGUACAACAAGCAAUCAAGAGCAUUGGCUGUGUUUAAACUCGUAAAAUCUUCAGCACCAUACCCUAAUAGUGGAUUGGUCGUUGAACCUUUUCAUCAGCAAAGCAGUUUCAUCUUGAGAAACGGUCAUUUUCCUAAUCACAGGAGAAUGCCUCCAAAAGUGUUUAAAACACAGCAAAGAAGGCAAGGGCUUCUAUUUUGUUUACCACCAAAAGAAAUUUCAAUUUUUCCUGCAAAUAAUAGGCUGUAUUCACUACCAGAAAGACAACAGCCAUGAGUGACCCAUAUGGCAACAAGCCAAUGUCAGAGAGCAGCGGUCACAUCGCCACGCAGGGCGCUGAUCCUCUCUCCGAUCCCUCCCCCCACUGAGAAGUUGCCCUUCAGCGUUAUGCCCAUGUGUGCUUGCCAACUUUCUGCAUCAUGACACAAAGACACUGCUGGCUAGGAUCACCGUGGCCUGAAGAACAGCAAGCAUGAAGCCAGCCAGGCUUACAUGAAACGGAGUUUGCGGAAUGGCUGUGCCGUUUGGAAAGUUCCCUUUAUGAGAGGCAAGCAGAAAGUCAACAGCCCACAGUUGCUCAAAUCCGAGCUUUGGUUUCCUUGCCACAGCCGGCCACUUCCCCCCCGCUCAGGAGAAUUAGCGUUAAGUUGCAUUUUUAACUAUGUCCCUAGGGGAGUGUUGAGCAAGAUGAAAAACAUGCCUGGUCACCAAUAAAUCAUUUCUGGAAAUGGGGCAUUUCAGGAAAAUUAAACAAAGCAGAGAAAAGCCUUAGCUUGCAGUUUAUUGUUAUAGAACUUGAGUGAUAGUUUUCCUCCAUGCUUAGACCAAUACCAAGCAGGAAACAGGGGGUGGGGAAGCAAAAAUCCUGCCCAGAAUAUAGAAGAGGACAGACGAUAAGAUCAUUGUCCUUUGAAACGAAACCUCGGUGGCUAAUUCUUUAACCCUUUCCCUACUCUGAUAAUUGGUAGACAUUCGAUGAUGAAGAGAUACCUCCGAAAAAAUCCCCACAAGGGUGGAACACAACUUUUCAUAGGUAUUCUAAAACUCAGCUACUUUCCAAAAUAACUACCUUCCCUUGUGCCCUGGCUGUAACGUGCAGGUAAAUUGCUCUCCCUGGGAUCAUUGUGGAGGAUACGGUGCAUGGAGAAACAGUGUGUGGAGCUCCUUCAGCUGAUGUCCGGAAAUACUUUCUGUGGGUUGAAAAAUCAGACUUCCCCUUCGGGCCCUUGUGACUUUAGAUGGGCAAACGGUGUUGUGGGUCUUCUACUUUUCUGUGGUCCACAAUUCCUACACCUGGUUGUCUCCUAAUUGCUGCUGUUGUAUCUAUCACAACGGUGUCAGCCCAAUUGAUGAGCGGAGCUCAUUGCUGGCUGCCUCCAUAGCAACCCUCUGAGGAUGCUCUAUGACCUCCCCGUGAGCCCAUGAUGAACAAAGGCACAUCGUCAUUUCUCUUAUUUUAAUAUUUGCCUACCCCAAAUGGUAAAGAACUGGUCAGAAAUCAGAAAAUAUUUUAGCAAGUCAAAGGUUAGUUCUGUUCGUUAAAUGCCUUACUGACGUUACUGACUUUGAAGGCUUAUUCCUGUCAUCCACCUUGAAUAAAUCACUGUGUUCUCUCAAUUUCUAUUUUAUGCUGCAGAAAAUUGAUAUUGCUAGGAUGAGUAUAUUCCUUUUUAAAAAGUAGUAUUUUUUAAAUUCUUUGAGAAUUUUAUACUGUGUAUUUUUGUUAUAUUGAUCCCCAACUUAUCCCAUAUCAAUCCUCUCUACCCUAACCUCCCUACUCACUCAACUUUUGAGGUAUCUCCCCAUCCCCUGUCCACACUGAGUUCAGUUUGUGUUGCUCGACUAUCUUGGGAGAGAGUCCUGCCCUGGAAGUCACCUACCUGGAGCCAUGUCACUAAAGGGUCACCUACCUGGAGUCAUGUCACUAAAGGAAGUUCACCCUCCCUUUCCCAGAAGUUAAUAGCUCUCCAGCUAGUGAUGGGAUUUUGUCUGUUACAUUCAUGUGUGUAGCUGUUCUUUUGUGUUUGGAAAAUACUCUUUCCUUGAAGUCACGCUACCUCCGGCUCUCACAAUCCACGCACCCCAUGAUCCUUGUGGGGAGGGGUAUGGCAUAGACCUCCCAUUUGGGACUGAGCCUGCCACCAUCUCUCACUCUUUUCUCAUUGACCUGUUGUAGGUCUCUGUCGAUUGCCGUUGACUACAAGAAGAAGCUUCUCUGAUGGACCUUGUGAGAUGCUCUGAUCUGCAGGCACAGCAGUCUCGGAAGCCAUGGCUUUGUGAGUAUACAGAUACCUGUUGGUUGUCCAUCAUGGCGGUUGAAGAAACCAGUUUGCACUGGCUGGGUGGCACAGACUAUGCGUACAGCAACAGGCCAGCACAGUCCUUCCCAUCUGCAUGAUCAGGAUGUAGAACUCUCAGCUCCUUCUCCAGCACCCUGCCUGCUUGCAUGCUGCUGUGCUUCCCCCAAGAAGAUAAUGUACUGAACCUCUGAAACUGUAAGCCAGUCCCAAUUAAAUGUUUUCCUUGAUAAGAGUUGCUGUGGUCAUGGUGUCCCUUCAUAGCAAUGGAAAUCUUAAU
Molecule: long non-coding RNA, 6584 nt
Organism: Alexandromys fortis (reed vole)
Lineage: Eukaryota; Metazoa; Chordata; Mammalia; Rodentia; Cricetidae
Exons: 6
Source: RefSeq, a predicted model, not a curated record